UACAGAGGUCCCAAGCGUUGUUCGGAUUCAUUGGGCGUAAAGGGUGCGUAGGUGGCGUGGUAAGUCGGGUGUGAAAUCCCGGGGGCUCAACCCCCGGGACUGCAUUCGAUACUGCCAUGCUUGAGGACUGGAGAGGAGACUGGAAUUUACGGUGUAGCGGUGAAAUGCGCAGAUAUCAGGAAGAACACCCGUGGCUAAGGCGGCUCUCUAGUACGGUACUGACGCUGAGACGCGAAAGCGUGGGGAGCGAACAGG
Molecule: ribosomal RNA, 255 nt
Filed under: uncultured bacterium
Lineage: Bacteria
Description: partial 16S ribosomal RNA
Rfam family: Bacterial small subunit ribosomal RNA
Source: RNAcentral